UCUUUUCUUGUAAAUGAUUUAUUCAGUUGAAUUUUAUUCUUUUCUUUAACUUGUUUCCUACAAGAGAGAAGGAGAUGUUUAAAGAACUUAUCGAAAGUAUACCAUUUACAAACAUGAUCCCUCCUACAUUUUCUGUCUCUUUUCUUUGAUAACCUUUUCUUUUCCUCUCUCAUCAAUUAUGCAACCAAACAAAUCCUGUGCAUUCUCCCAAAAAAAAAAAAUCUAGCUUUCCAACAUCAAUGAAGACAGUCAAAUGUCCAUAUAUUGUUAUUUGUUCCAUUGCAAGUUGUACAUUAGGAAAGAUCCUAUUUUAGGUAAUAAAAUAUCUGCAAAUUAAAUAAAGAAUAAAUACUAACUAGAAAUCACAAUAAAAUUUUGUAGUACAAGCAGUAGUUCCAGGAAACCUACUUUGCAGGCCUGUUAUUCUUACAAUCAUGACUAUACUUAACAAGAAAACGCUUGGAAAAGCCUACAUACGAUGCAGUUUUUUUAUUGCUGCCGGAAAAGUUUACAUUAAUGAACUCUGUAACUAAGCAUAAUUGAGGUUCUAUAACAGGUUUGUUCUUAUACUGCUUGCUCAAUCCAAACUUAAGAUUUAAUACAAUUCGUUGACCUCUCUAUUUAGACCAUUAGAAGCAGAAGGAAGUGAAAAGCAACCAAAAUUUGUAAUCUAAAACGAUUCUGGGUCUUCCAAAUUUUGAGAAUAAACCUCAACCACACCCAAUUAAGCUAAAUUGAGUACAGACAGAGCUGAGUUCACAGUUUCCUUUGGACCACUUCCCCACCAACCAAACAAAAGACUCUAACCCAUUAAAAUGUACUUAAAAUAGGAAACCCAUAUAAAACUUACAAACAAAUCAGAGUAAAAAGUGGAUAACGCACCAACAUAUUUCCCAGCUAAGACUAACUAAUUUCUCAAAAACACCACCACAAGAAACCAUCAAACAUCCAAAUAACCUAAGUCAAACUCACACACACAGAAUCAUAAAGAGGAAAAAAGAAAAUAAGUCAAAUUAAUAAUAUAUACAAAUCACAAAAUACAAGUACAUAAGCAUAUAUAUACAUCUAUAUGUGUGUGUGUGCGCGCACACG
RNAcentral lists this unclassified non-coding RNA (1092 nucleotides) under Hevea brasiliensis (rubber tree). Lineage: Eukaryota; Viridiplantae; Streptophyta; Magnoliopsida; Malpighiales; Euphorbiaceae. The record is from RNAcentral.